AGCCACAUCACGUUGAAACACCGGUCCCUGUACGAUCACCGAAGUUAAGCAACAUCGAGCCUGGUCAGAUGGGUGACCGCUUGGGAAUACCUGGUGCUGUAAG
Molecule: non-coding RNA, 103 nt
Organism: Acanthosepion pharaonis
Lineage: Eukaryota; Metazoa; Mollusca; Cephalopoda; Sepiida; Sepiidae
Source: the annotation of a GenBank genome assembly